GCCAGUCUGAGAGGAUGAUUGGCCGCAAUGGAACUGAAAAAAGGUCCAUAGUUUUUAAAUUCAGCAGUACGGAAUAUUGGACAAUGGGCUAAAGCUUGAUCCAGCUAUAUCAUGUAGGGGAAGAAGGCUAUUUUGGUUGUAAACCUUAAGAAUUAGUAUGAAAUAUGAUGUGUACUAAAGAAAAGUCCCGGCUAACCUCGUGCCAGCAGCCGCGGUAAUACGGGGGGGGCUAGCAUUAUUCGGAAUAAUUGGGCGUAAAGUGCUUUAGGGUGGUAUUUUAUAAUUUAAAGUGUAAACUUUUUUUAAUAAAAAAGAAGGCUUUUUUAAUUUUUAUACUCGAGUUUAGGAUAAGUUGGUAGAAUUUCUAGAGUAGGGGUGAAAUCCGUAAAAUUUGGAAGGAAUACCAGAGGCGAAGGCGACUUUCUGGCCUAAGACUGACACUAAAGGGCGAAAGCACGGGAUCAAAAAGGAUUAGAUACCCUUGUAGUCCGUGCAGUCAAAACUGAGUGCUAACUUUUUUGGACUAGUUUUUGAGAGAGUAAAGUUAACACGUUAAGCACUCCGCCGGGGGAAUACGAUCGCAAGAUUAAAACUCAAGGGAAUUGACGGGGGCUCAAACAAGUGGUGGAGCAUGUGGUUUAAUGCGAUAAUCCGCGCAGAACCUUACCAGUUUUUGUAUAAACAAAAAUAAAAAGUAUUUAUAUUUUUUAUUUUAAAAUAUUUUAAAUAUUUAGUUUACAGGUGUUGCAUGGCUGUCGUUAGUUCGUGCUGUGAAGUGUUAGGUUAAGUCCUUAAACGAACGUAACCCCUAUUCUUAAUUAUAAUAUAAGUUAUUUAAGAACACGGUCUUUUAAAAAAGAAGGAAGGAGGGGAUGAUGUCAAGUCCUCACGGCCCUUAUAAACUGGGCUACACACGUGCUACAAUGGUAAAAACAAAGAGUUGCAAAGAUGUAAAUCUAAGCCAAUCUUUAAAUUUUAACGUAGUUCAGAUCAUGGGCUGUAACUCGCCCAUGUGAAGUUGGAAUCACUAGUAAUCGCAAAUUAGAAUCGUUGCGGUGAAUACGUACCAGAGCCUUGCACACACUGCCCGUCACAUUGAGGAAGUCGCUUUUUUUAAAAAUUCUUAAUUAUAUAAAAGCUCAGGAAAUUUUUAUAUAAAGUCUAUUAUAAAGAAGGAGAUGACUUUGAUGAAGUCGUAGCAAGGUAGCGG
RNAcentral lists this ribosomal RNA (1210 nucleotides) under uncultured Pseudomonadota bacterium. RNAcentral's name for it is "uncultured proteobacterium partial 16S ribosomal RNA". It matches the Rfam family "Bacterial small subunit ribosomal RNA", at positions 286 to 1502 of the family's 1533-position model. Lineage: Bacteria; Pseudomonadati; Pseudomonadota. The record is from RNAcentral.